UCUCCGUUGGUGAACCAGCGGAGGGAUCAUUACCGAGUUAUACAACUCAUCAACCCUGUGAACAUACCUAAAACGUUGCUUCGGCGGGAACAGACGGCCCUGUAACAACGGGCCGCCCCCGCCAGAGGACCCCUAAACUCUGUUUCUAUAUGUAACUUCUGAGUAAAACCAUAAAUAAAUCAAAACUUUCAACAACGGAUCUCUUGGUUCUG
This 212-nucleotide unclassified non-coding RNA is filed under the name root metagenome. Its description in RNAcentral is "partial contains small subunit ribosomal RNA, internal transcribed spacer 1, and 5.8S ribosomal RNA". The record is from RNAcentral.